AAAGGUUUUGUUGAAUGAAAUGCCAUUUUUUUUUGUUUUUUCCCUUAGGGAACAAUAAGAAAAUUUCUCUUUUUGAGCCAAUCUCCUUCUGAAACGAGCUCCAGGAGUGGUCACAACCUGCCAUAAAAAUGCCAUGUGCAAGAGGAUAUAUUUCAUAUCGGGCAAGCAGGCUGGGACGAUACGAUCUGUUUGGGGUUUGAAGCACCAAGGUUCUGACUCUGCUCCUUGGGAACCUUCCAUUCCCUGUGUAGGGUUGGGUUCAGCCCAACUCAGACAGAUGGAUUUCCAAAAUCUCCUCCAAAGCCGAAGACCGAUCUCUGUAAAUCCCUUUAAAAUCUGAAGAUGAAUCUCCAAAAAUCUCCUCCAAAGCUGAAGAUCAGCUAAACCUCCUCCAAAGCUGAAGAUCAGCCCCAGCCCCAGCCCCACCCACCUGAGGGAUGAGCUGGUGCUGGGUGUGCCUGGAAAAACUCCUCCCACAGCCCAGGUGAGCCCAAAAUCUGCUGUAAACCCUGCUUUAAACCCUGCUGUAAACCCUGCUGUAAACCCUGCUGUAAACCCUGCACCACCAAUGUCAAGCAUCCCCUGCCCCAGGCACUGAUCCAGCCCAGCUUUGCCCCCUCAGUCCCACCUCAUCCUCCCAGCAAACCUCAUCAGCAAGCACUAAUUAACCCAGAGGUCCUUCCCAGGGCUGCUCCCGUGCCUGCUGGGAGCAGAGCUGGCAGAGUGAAGUCAUUUUUGUGCCCUGUGUCAUCAGGCUGAUGUCAGGGCUGCUGUCAGGGCGGUGUUUAUGAAGCUGGAGGUCGAUAUUAAAUACUGGAUUUAGGAUCCAUUGGCAGGGCUGCAGCUCAGACUGGGUUUGACCUUCCUUGGCUGACAGGGAGCCAGAGGGGAUUUUCCAUGGCAUGGAGUUAAAGGAGUUUCCACUGCCCAGCUUUCUCCUCUGCCUCCACCAUAUCACAGUCCCAGCUCUCUUUGGGAGUCAUAAAAAAAGAUUUCUCGGAGGAAAUAAUAAAAAUUUAUGGAAGAAAUCUCCAGAGAACAAAACAUCAAAC
This 1052-nucleotide long non-coding RNA is filed under the name Ficedula albicollis (Collared flycatcher). RNAcentral's name for it is "lncRNA (ENSFALG00000027849.1)". Lineage: Eukaryota; Metazoa; Chordata; Aves; Passeriformes; Muscicapidae. The record is from RNAcentral.